GAUGAACGCUGGCGGCGUGCCUAAUACAUGCCAGUCGAGCGAACAGACGAGGAGCUUGCUCCUCUGACGUUAGCGGCGGACGGGUGAGUAACACGUGGAUAACCUACCUAUAAGACUGGGAUAACUUCGGGAAACCGGAGCUAAUACCGGAUAAUAUAUUGAACCGCAUGGUUCAAUAGUGAAAGACGGUUUUGCUGUCACUUAUAGAUGGAUCCGCGCCGCAUUAGCUAGUUGGUAAGGUAACGGCUUACCAAGGCAACGAUGCGUAGCCGACCUGAGAGAGUGAUCGGCCACACUGGAAGUGAGACACGGUCCAGACUCCUACGGGAGGCAGCAGUAGGGAAUCUUCCGCAAUGGGCGAAAGCCUGACGGAGCAACGCCGCGUGAGUGAUGAAGGUCUUCGGAUCGUAAAACUCUGUUAUUAGGGAAGAACAAAUGUGUAAGUAACUAUGCACGUCUUGACGGUACCUAAUCAGAAAGCCACGGCUAACUACGUG
RNAcentral lists this ribosomal RNA (497 nucleotides) under uncultured bacterium. RNAcentral describes it as "partial 16S ribosomal RNA". It matches the Rfam family "Bacterial small subunit ribosomal RNA", at positions 28 to 507 of the family's 1533-position model. The record is from RNAcentral.